CAGCAGCCACGGGAAUACGUAGGGUGCAAGCGUUGUCCGGAAUUAUUGGGCGUAAAGAGCUCGUAGGCGGUUUGUCGCGUCUGCUGUGAAAUCCCGAGGCUCAACCUCGGGCUUGCAGUGGGUACGGGCAGACUAGAGUGCGGUAGGGGAGAUUGGAAUUCCUGGUGUAGCGGUGGAAUGCGCAGAUAUCAGGAGGAACACCGAUGGCGAAGGCAGAUCUCUGGGCCGUAACUGACGCUGAGGAGCGAAAGCGUGGGGAGCGAACAGGAUUAGAUACCCGCGUAGUCCCUGUCUCUUAUAC
RNAcentral lists this ribosomal RNA (301 nucleotides) under uncultured bacterium. RNAcentral describes it as "partial 16S ribosomal RNA". It matches the Rfam family "Bacterial small subunit ribosomal RNA", at positions 509 to 807 of the family's 1533-position model. The record is from RNAcentral.